CUACUGAGUAAUAUGCUUGA
This 20-nucleotide small nuclear RNA is filed under the name Arabidopsis thaliana (thale cress). RNAcentral describes it as "snRNA_08960". Lineage: Eukaryota; Viridiplantae; Streptophyta; Magnoliopsida; Brassicales; Brassicaceae. The record is from RNAcentral.